Paramuricea clavata is the source of this 535-nucleotide non-coding RNA. The record is from the annotation of a GenBank genome assembly. Lineage: Eukaryota; Metazoa; Cnidaria; Anthozoa; Malacalcyonacea; Plexauridae.
GCGCGUGGCUGCUCUCAAGAGAAGAUCAAUUUAGCAAUUUGCAUUAGCAUUUGCAAGGUUGGUCUUCUCUUCGCCCUGCUACCCCGGCUGGCUCUCCGAGUGCUACCUCUACUUUAAGUAGGAGUACUUCUAUAUAUAGAAGUGCUUCUACUUGAAGUAGAGGUAGCACUUGGGGAGCCGGCCGGGGUAGGGGGAUUUUUUUUAUUAUUUUUUUCAAUUCCCAUGGGAAUUGAACUUUUAAUUAAAAAGGAGUCUCUUGUAUAAUUAAUGAACAAUUUAUUGAAAAGAACUUGUAAAUUUUACAAUUUGAAUAACAAUAAAAAGAGAACAACCACUGCAUUACUGUACUUAUUUAAAUAACAAUAGAAGAAAACAGAACAUGGCACAAAUAGAACAAUUAACAUUGUGUUCAACACAAGUGAAUAAACACAACAUUAAAAAUACCUUGUUUGCCCGCGAAUUAACAUUAAAAACGUUAACUCUUGAGGAAACAAGCGGAACUUGGUCUUUUCAAGAUAAAUGUUUAUACUUCAAG